GUGGGUGUAGCUCAGUGGUAGAGCACAUGCUUAGCGUGCAUGAGCUCAUGGGUUCAAUCCCCGGUACCUCCC
Molecule: transfer RNA, 72 nt
Filed under: Camelus bactrianus (Bactrian camel)
Lineage: Eukaryota; Metazoa; Chordata; Mammalia; Artiodactyla; Camelidae
Also listed under: 2 other names
Rfam family: tRNA
About the family: Transfer RNA (tRNA) molecules are approximately 80 nucleotides in length. Their secondary structure includes four short double-helical elements and three loops (D, anti-codon, and T loops). Further hydrogen bonds mediate the characteristic L-shaped molecular structure. tRNAs have two regions of fundamental functional importance: the anti-codon, which is responsible for specific mRNA codon recognition, and the 3' end, to which the tRNAs corresponding amino acid is attached (by aminoacyl-tRNA synthetases). tRNAs cope with the degeneracy of the genetic code in two manners: having more than one tRNA (with a specific anti-codon) for a particular amino acid; and 'wobble' base-pairing, i.e. permitting non-standard base-pairing at the 3rd anti-codon position.
Source: Rfam by way of RNAcentral